CCUACGGGGCGCUGCAGUGGGGAAUAUUGGACAAUGGGCGAAAGCCUGAUCCAGCCAUGCCGCGUGUGUGAAGAAGGCCUUCGGGUUGUAAAGCACUUUCAGUGGGGAAGAAAGCCUUGGGGCUAAUACCCUCGAGGAAGGACAUCACCCACAGAAGAAGCACCGGCUAACUCCGUGCCAGCAGCCGCGGUAAUACGGAGGGGUGCGAGCGUUAAUCGGAAUUACUGGGCGUAAAGCUCGCGUAGGCGGUCUGAUAAGCCGGUUGUGAAAGCCCCGGGCUCAACCUGGGAACGGCAUCCGGAACUGUCAGGCUAGAGUGCAGGAGAGGAAGGUAGAAUUCCCGGUGUAGCGGUGAAAUGCGUAGAGAUCGGGAGGAAUACCAGUGGCGAAGGCGGCCUUCUGGACUGACACUGACGCUGAGGUGCGAAAGCGUGGGUAGCAAACAGGAUUAGAUACCCUGGUAGUC
This 466-nucleotide ribosomal RNA is filed under the name Vreelandella stevensii. RNAcentral's name for it is "partial 16S ribosomal RNA". It matches the Rfam family "Bacterial small subunit ribosomal RNA", at positions 338 to 795 of the family's 1533-position model. The record is from RNAcentral. Lineage: Bacteria; Pseudomonadati; Pseudomonadota; Gammaproteobacteria; Oceanospirillales; Halomonadaceae.